Molecule: unclassified non-coding RNA, 384 nt
Filed under: Hevea brasiliensis (rubber tree)
Lineage: Eukaryota; Viridiplantae; Streptophyta; Magnoliopsida; Malpighiales; Euphorbiaceae
Source: RNAcentral
UCCCUGUUCAUCUUCAAAAUAUAACUUCCCUUAGAGAACUUGACUUAUCUGAUAAUCAGUUCAAUUCUUCCAUGGCCAUAUGGUUACAUGAUUUUAGUCAUCUUGAGGCUCUCGGCCUUUUCUCUAAUAAUUUGCAAGAUAGAAUUCCAAGUGCCAUUGGAAACUUGACUUCUCUCAACAUACUGGACUUGGCAUUGAACCAAUUUGAAGGAGCAAUUCCAAGUGACAUUGGAAACUUGACUUCCCUAAACAGCCUUGACUUGUCAAACAACACACUUGAAGGAUCGAUUCCGAGUGCCAUAGGAAACUUGACUUCCCUCUACGAACUUGACCUAUCAGACAACAAUCUUGCAGGAGAAAUUCCAAGUGCCAUUGGAAACUUGA